CCGGCAUGAUACCGCCGUUAUCGGGUCAAAUCACAAGUGCCAACGAUAACGAGGCGCUCGCCGUCGCUGCAUAAGCGAUAGGCGCGGUUCGGGGGGGCACCGGGCAACAGAAGCCCCCCCAAU
Molecule: transfer-messenger RNA, 123 nt
Filed under: Rhodopila sp.
Lineage: Bacteria; Pseudomonadati; Pseudomonadota; Alphaproteobacteria; Acetobacterales; Acetobacteraceae
Description: partial transfer-messenger RNA
Rfam family: Alphaproteobacteria transfer-messenger RNA
About the family: Bacterial tmRNA, also known as 10Sa RNA or SsrA, is named for its dual tRNA and mRNA-like properties. Its role is to liberate the mRNA from a stalled ribosome.
Source: RNAcentral